Molecule: ribosomal RNA, 1472 nt
Filed under: uncultured bacterium
Lineage: Bacteria
Description: partial 16S ribosomal RNA gene
Rfam family: Bacterial small subunit ribosomal RNA
Source: RNAcentral
UAGAGUUUGAUCCUGGCUCAGAACGAACGCUGGCGGCAGGCUUAACACAUGCAAGUCGAACGCUCGUAGCAAUACGGGAGUGGCAGACGGGUGAGUAACGCGUGGGAACAUACCCUCCGGUUCGGAAUAGCUCAGGGAAACUUGGAUUAAUACCGGAUACGGCUGAGAGGCGAAAGAUUUAUCGCCGGAGGAUUGGCCCGCGUUCGAUUAGCUUGUUGGUGAGGUAACGGCUCACCAAGGCGAUGAUCGAUAGCUGGUCUGAGAGGAUGAUCAGCCACAUUGGGACUGAGACACGGCCCAAACUCCUACGGGAGGCAGCAGUGGGGAAUAUUGGACAAUGGGCGCAAGCCUGAUCCAGCCAUGCCGCGUGAGUGAUGACGGCCUUAGGGUUGUAAAGCUCUUUCGCUCGGGACGAUAAUGACGGUACCGAGAAAGAAGCCCCGGCUAACUUCGUGCCAGCAGCCGCGGUAAUACGUAGGGGGCCAGCGUUGCUCGGAAUUACUGGGCGUAAAGGGUCCGUAGGCGGUGCGGCAAGUCGAGAGUGAAAUCCCUAGGGCUUAACCUAGGGGCUGCUAGCGAAACUGCCGUGCUAGAGUGUGAGAGAGGCGAGUGGAAUUACGGGUGUAGCGGUGAAAUGCGUAGAUAUCCGUAGGAACAUCCGAGGCGAAAGCGGCUCGCUGGAUCACAACUGACGCUGAGAGACGAAAGCUAGGGGAGCAAACAGGAUUAGAUACCCUGGUAGUCCUAGCCCUAAACCAUCAGGACUUGGGGUUUGCCCUGUACGGGGCAAGUCCCGUAGCUAACGCGUUAAGUCCUGCGCCUGGGGAGUACGGUCGCAAGGCUGAAACUCAAAGGAAUUGACGGGGGCCCGCACAAGCGGUGGAACAUGUGGUUCAAUUCGACGCAACGCGAAGAACCUUACCUGGGCUUGAACCGCACAGGACCAGCUUGAGAAAUCAGGCCUUCCCGCAAGGGACCUGUGUAGAGGUGCUGCAUGGCUGUCGUCAGCUCGUGCCGUGAGGUGUUGGGUUAAGUCCCGCAACGAGCGCAACCCUUACUCAUAGUUGCUACCCGCAAGGGAGAACUCUAUGAGGACUGCUCCGGAUAACGGAGAGGAAGGUGGGGAUGAGGUCAAGUCAGCAUGGCCUUUAUGUCCAGGGCUACACACGUGUUACAAUGCGCGCCACAAAGCGUCGCGAACCCGCGAGGGGGAGCUAAUCGCAAAAAAGCGCGCUCAGUUCGGAUUGCAGUCUGCAACUCGACUGCAUGAAGCCGGAAUCGCUAGUAAUGGCGCAUCAGAACGGCGCCGUGAAUACGUUCCCGGGCCUUGUACACACCGCCCGUCACAUCACGAAAGUGGGCUGUACUAGAAAUCGCCGAGCCAACCGCAAGGAGGCAGGCGCUCAAGGUAUGACUCAUGAUUGGGGUGAAGUCGUAACAAGGUAGCCGUAGGAGAACCUGCGGCUGGAUCA